Molecule: transfer RNA, 65 nt
Filed under: Nematostella vectensis (starlet sea anemone)
Lineage: Eukaryota; Metazoa; Cnidaria; Anthozoa; Actiniaria; Edwardsiidae
Rfam family: tRNA
About the family: Transfer RNA (tRNA) molecules are approximately 80 nucleotides in length. Their secondary structure includes four short double-helical elements and three loops (D, anti-codon, and T loops). Further hydrogen bonds mediate the characteristic L-shaped molecular structure. tRNAs have two regions of fundamental functional importance: the anti-codon, which is responsible for specific mRNA codon recognition, and the 3' end, to which the tRNAs corresponding amino acid is attached (by aminoacyl-tRNA synthetases). tRNAs cope with the degeneracy of the genetic code in two manners: having more than one tRNA (with a specific anti-codon) for a particular amino acid; and 'wobble' base-pairing, i.e. permitting non-standard base-pairing at the 3rd anti-codon position.
Source: Rfam by way of RNAcentral
GGCCUUGUGGCCCAAUGGAUAAGGCGCCUGACUACGGAUUCCAAGUUCGAGUCCUGGCAGGGUCG